CUAAGUCAAUUCCAAAUCCAACAUGUAUAGUUUAUCUAACUUAUUACAGCAUAAAUUCAGAUUUCGUUUAACAUACUAAUCAAUAAAUUCGAGCUAAAAUCAUGAUAUACAAAGGCUGAAAAUAUACAUGUUGACUACGCAAACACUUAGGAGGAGAAUUCGAUGAUUAACCCACCUCAAAACGGCUCGAUGACAGCGCGCAACUGCUGGAAACCCUGUCGAGCCAACCAA
Molecule: long non-coding RNA, 231 nt
Filed under: Ananas comosus (pineapple)
Lineage: Eukaryota; Viridiplantae; Streptophyta; Magnoliopsida; Poales; Bromeliaceae
Description: long non-coding RNA (ACOM_LNC013270)
Source: RNAcentral